The sequence is a ribosomal RNA, 2906 nucleotides long. It matches the Rfam family "Bacterial large subunit ribosomal RNA".
GUUAUAUGGUCAAGUGAUUAAGCGCAUACGGUGGAUGCCUAGGCGGUAAGAGGCGAAGAAGGACGUUGUAGCUUGCGAUAAGCCACGGGGAGUCAGCAAACAGGCUUUGAUCCGUGGAUUUCCGAAUGGGGAAACCCACCUGUCGUAAGGCAGGUAUCUUGUACUGAAUCCAUAGGUGCAAGAGGCGAACCCGGGGAACUGAAACAUCUAAGUACCCGGAGGAAAAGAAAUCAACCGAGAUUCCCUUAGUAGCGGCGAGCGAACGGGGAUUAGCCCUUAAGUUGUUAGAGAGUUAGUGGAAGGAUCUGGAAAGUUCCGCGAUACAGGGUGAAAGCCCCGUACACGAAAGCGAUCUAGCAGUGAAAACGAGUAGGGCGGAGCACGAGAAACUCUGUCUGAACAUGGGGGGACCAUCCUCCAAGGCUAAAUACUCCUUACCGACCGAUAGUGAACCAGUACCGUGAGGGAAAGGCGAAAAGAACCCCGUUUAGGGGAGUGAAAUAGAACCUGAAACCGUGUGCGUACAAGCAGUGGGAGCCCUUCGGGGUGACUGCGUACCUUUUGUAUAAUGGGUCAGCGACUUACUUCUCAGUAGCAAGCUUAACCGAAUAGGGGAGGCGUAGGGAAACCGAGUCUUAACAGGGCGAUUGAGUUGCUGGGAGUAGACCCGAAACCGGGCGAUCUAUCCAUGGCCAGGGUGAAGGUGGGGUAACACCUGCUGGAGGCCCGAACCCACUUACGUUGAAAAGUGAGGGGAUGAGCUGUGGAUCGGAGUGAAAGGCUAAUCAAGCCCGGAGAUAGCUGGUUCUCCUCGAAAGCUAUUUAGGUAGCGCCUCGCGUCUCACCUCAGGGGGUAGAGCACUGUUUCGGCUAGGGGGUCAUCCCGACUUACCAACCCGAUGCAAACUCCGAAUACCUGAGAGUGCAAUCGCGGGAGACACACGGCGGGUGCUAACGUCCGUCGUGAAAAGGGAAACAACCCAGACCGCCAGCUAAGGUCCCAAAAUCACAUCUCAGUGGGAAACGAUGUGGGAAGGCCCAGACAGCCAGGAGGUUGGCUUAGAAGCAGCCAUCCUUUAAAGAAAGCGUAAUAGCUCACUGGUCGAGUCGGCCUGCGCGGAAGAUUUACCGGGGCUUAAGAUGUGUACCGAAGCUGCGGAUGCAAGCUUGCUUGCAUGGUAGAGGAGCGUUCUGUAAGCGGUAGAAGGUGUGCUGUAAGGCAUGCUGGACGUAUCAGAAGUGCGAAUGCUGACAUGAGUAACGAUAAAGGGGGUGAGAGGCCCCCUCGCCGAAAACCCAAGGUUUCCUGCGCAACGCUAAUCGGCGCAGGGUUAGUCGGCCCCUAAGGCGAGGCAGAGAUGCGUAGUCGAUGGGAAGCAGGUUAAUAUUCCUGCACCUCUUAUUACUGCGAUGGAGAGACGGAGAAGGCUAGGUCAUCCUGGCGACGGUAGUCCAGGUAUAAGCGAGUAGGCAGUGGGAUCAGGCAAAUCCGGUUCCACAAUGCUGAGACGUGAUAUCGAGUCCUUAUUUGGACGAAGUGAUUGACGCCAUGCUUCCAGGAAAAUCUUCUAAGCUUCAGGUAAUAAGAGACCGUACUCUAAACCGACACAGGUGGGUAGGAUGAGAAUUCCAAGGCGCUUGAGAGAACUCUGGUGAAGGAACUAGGCAAAAUGGUACCGUAACUUCGGGAGAAGGUACGCCCUUGUUGGUGAAGCGACUUGCUCGUGGAGCUGGUGAGGGUUGCAAUGAAAUGGUGGCUGCAACUGUUUAUUAAAAACAUAGCACUCUGCAAACUCGAAAGAGGACGUAUAGGGUGUGACGCCUGCCCGGUGCCGGAAGGUUAAUUGAUGGGGUUAGCGUUCGCGCGAAGCUCUUGAUCGAAGCCCCGGUAAACGGCGGCCGUAACUAUAACGGUCCUAAGGUAGCGAAAUUCCUUGUCGGGUAAGUUCCGACCUGCACGAAUGGCGUAAUGAUGGCCACACUGUCUCCACCAGAGACUCAGUGAAAUUGAACUCGCUGUUAAGAUGCAGCGUACCCGCGGCUAGACGGAAAGACCCCGUGAACCUUUACUACAGCUUCACACUGAAUUUUGAACCUACUUGUGUAGGAUAGCUGGGAGGCUUUGAAACCGAGACGCCAGUCUUGGUGGAGCCAACCUUGAAAUACCAGCCUGGUAUGUUUGGAGUUCUAACCAUGGCCCGUUAUCCGGGUCUGGGACAGUGUGUGGUGGGUAGUUUGACUGGGGCGGUCUCCUCCCAAAGAGUAACGGAGGAGCACGAAGGUACCCUCAGCGCGGUCGGAAAUCGCGCACUGAGUGCAAAGGCAUAAGGGUGCUUGACUGUGAGACAGACACGUCGAACAGGUACGAAAGUAGGUCUUAGUGAUCCGGUGGCUCUGUAUGGAAGGGCCAUCGCUCAACGGAUAAAAGGUACUCCGGGGAUAACAGGCUGAUACCGCCCAAGAGUUCAUAUCGACGGCGGUGUUUGGCACCUCGAUGUCGGCUCAUCACAUCCUGGGGCUGAAGUCGGUCCCAAGGGUAUGGCUGUUCGCCAUUUAAAGUGGUACGCGAGCUGGGUUUAGAACGUCGUGAGACAGUUCGGUCCCUAUCUGCCGUGGGCGUUUGAGAUUUGAGGGAAGCUGCUCCUAGUACGAGAGGACCGGAGUGGACGAACCUCUGGUGUUCCGGUUGUCACGCCAGUGGCAUUGCCGGGUAGCUAUGUUCGGACAGGAUAACCGCUGAAAGCAUCUAAGCGGGAAGCCCCUCCCAAGAUUAGAUCUCACUGACUCCUGAGAGUCCUGAAGGGCCCUUGAAGACUACAAGGUUGAUAGGCUGGGUGUGGAAGCGCAGUAAUGUGUGAAGCUAACCAGUACUAAUUGCCCGUGCGGCUUGACCAUAUAACACCCAA